RNA transcript from Corticium candelabrum, 1870 nucleotides. RefSeq lists it as uncharacterized. NCBI's taxonomy places the organism in Eukaryota, Metazoa, Porifera, Homoscleromorpha, Homosclerophorida, Plakinidae. The record is from RefSeq and is a predicted model, not a curated record. The transcript is spliced from 5 exons.
AGUUUGAAAUUUACAGUGUCAUCUCACUUGAAAGAAUUCUUCAGUCACACAAUUCUUAUUAUAGAAAAAUGUCUCCCAGUGAGCUUUUGAAAGAGCUUGCAAGUUUGCGAGAACGCAUUGACCACUUGGAACGAGAAAAAAGAACUGACGACAUUUCUGCGACUGGCAAUUCCUCAAAACCGAGGCCACAGAAGUUAUUCCGACGGCGGCACUGAAACGGCUCUUUGGCGACAUGUCACUUGAAAUCAAACCUGCAGAAAGACCAUGGGAAGAUGUUGCUGCAGAACUAAAAAAGACUCUUGUGCAAAUAGUCAGAGCGGGAGGCAAUUGUCGAAAUAUUGAUGACACCACAAUAUUAAGACGUGUGCGUCAGUUUUAUGUCGCACGAAGACAGACUGUAACCGCAGCCAAAAACACAGAGAAGAGACGACGAAGACGGCAACAACUUAAAAUCAGCGCAGCAACUUACACCUACAAACGUCAGAAAGUGGCUGAGGCUAUUAGAAAAAACGAGCUUUCAGCAGAGACCAGAGACGUGUCAUUGUUCAGAUCUUCCAUUCCCAGAUUGACAGAUAAACAAGUUUUGCCUGCACCAAAUAGCAGCGAUGAAGAUGCUAAACUGAAGAAAAAAAAGUUGCAAGUUAAACACCUGAAACGAAUGAGAGAGUUGGCAGGAGUAAAGAGGCGAGUUCAAGACAAGGUGUGCCCGGACUGGAGACAGAAAGCAGUUGAAGAAGGCUUCUUAAUUAGUGAUUCAGGAGAAGAGUCGAGUGAUGCAGGGGCCAACUGCAAGUGCAUUGCUUAUUUCAAUUUCUGGGAUCGAAAUAUUCUAACAUAAUCGUUGUUUGAAAUUGUAGUGAAUUAGCUGACAAAGACAAUCAAAUAUAUGUGCACACUAUAUUAUGAUGGCAACUUUUAAUUUGAGCAGCUAGCAUUUUGUUUGUUGAUUAAUAUUAUUGAUAUUAAUAUCACUUAUAAUGAUGAUAUUUAUAAUUACUAUUUUAUUCCUGGGGAAAGCCUUGAGUACACAUCUUAUUUAUAUUAACAAAUUAAACGGCAUACUGGUAAUUUGUUGUCAUCAAGUCUUUGUUUCCUUACUACAUUUCCAGAAGGAUCACUCUGCUGUUAUUUGCAACUAUAUAGUAUCUGUAUAUUUCUGAUGGCAACUUUGCGAUUGUAAUUUGUUAUUAUUCCAGAUGAUGAGGUCGAUGAUAUGUUCGAAGAUCUAUUGCCUCUUGCAGCCAGCUUUGACGCUUUUCCAUCUACACAGAAUCAAGGUUUGACAGAAUUGACGACUGAACAUGUAAGGAGCAAAAAAAGGAAAACCUUGUCAUUGAAAGAAUCCAGCUGCAGGGGAAGAGACCAGCGCAUAAAGGUUCUGCAAGAAUUGACAUGUAAUGACUUUGUUGAGGACACAUGCACAGAAAAUUACUCUCACUUAGAAGAGCCAAGCCAAAGCAUUUUGCAGAGGAGAGUAAUAUUAGAGACACAUGAUAAUGACACUUACGAGUAUUAGAUAAUAUUUUAGUUAUAACUAAUUAAUAAUUAAUUAGUAGUUAUAACUAAUUAAUAAUUAAUUAUAACUAAUUAUUAAUUAAUUAAUAGCUGUUUUAUUUGUAAUAGCUGCACUACGUAUAGUAAAAAACCACGUUACCAUUGUGUUUUAGCCAGCCUAUGUUCAUUCACUGUGCUUACAGGACCGCGUUCAAUCUACUUAUCAAUCAGAUAUGUGAUUAUAGGACUGCGUCUGACCUUCUCUUGAAUCAUAUAGGGUGUGAUUAUAAGACUGCCUCUGACCUUCUCCUGAAUCAUAUAGGGUGUGAUUAUAGGAUCUGUUUCAUGCAUACCUCAUGGGUGUGAUUUCUAAGAU